Pholiota molesta is the source of this 130-nucleotide non-coding RNA. The record is from the annotation of a GenBank genome assembly. Lineage: Eukaryota; Fungi; Basidiomycota; Agaricomycetes; Agaricales; Strophariaceae.
GGUAAGAUGGCCGAGCGGUCUAAGGCGCCAGACUAAGGAUCAGAGCAUUGGAUGCUCACCAGUAUCGGUACCACAUACCGAUUACGUAAUCUGGUCCUCCGGGGCGAGGGUUCGAAUCCCUCUCUUAUCA